AUUUCAGCAUAAAAAAUAAAUUCCUGUAGUCAGGGGGCGGGGCUUAGGUGAUGUCAGCUGUCCACAUUGUCAUUGUUUACAGAUAUGGUCAAUGAUCACACAGACAAAGUUCGAAAAAGAUCUGAUCAUGCACAUGGGAGUUAUUAAGUCAAGUAAAGUAAUGGCGAAAGGUCAACGUUUGAGGCUUAGCCACGCCCACACCUUUCAACUUUUGAAAAAUCCGACGGUUGAAUUUUUUCCCCUACGUCUUAAGAGUGUAUUGCAGAAGUUUGAAGGUGAUUGGUGAAAAGGGCGACGGAGCAUCACUCUCCAAACAAUGUGUGCGAAAACCACUAAAUCACGUACUUGCACCAAAAUGGCCGACUUCCUGUGCGACUUUACGCUUGGCUCCAAGAGACUUUUUUGUAGGUCCUGAGACCCCACAUUAGUGUACCAAAUUUCGUAAUCCUCAGUCAAAGCAUGGCUUGGGGCUGACAGUUUUAAUGGCUCUAGGGGGCGCUAUUUAAGAAUAUAGGCCAUGCCCACAAACUUCAGCUGUCUAUUUCUCUUGGAGCUCAGACUAGGAUCACUCACCAGAAGUUUCGUAGCAAUAUCACGAUAACUGAAGAAAUGAGAGACAAACGUAUUUCCAUGGCGUGAUGGCGAUUUUCGCCAUGGUCCCAAAGCCCCGCCUUUUUUCAAAACCUGCCAGUACUGGAGACCAAGUAACCUCAACUUGUCUACUGCUGUUUGCCACAGAAUCCUGGUGAUUGGGUAAAAGGAGUCCAGUAGGGAGCUGUGAAAAAAAGAGUAGCGUGGCGACAGGUCAAAGUUUGAGGCUUAGCCACGCCCACACCUUUCAACUUUUGAAAAAUCCGACGGUUGAAUUUUUUCCCCUAUGUCUUAAGGGUAUAUAGCAGAAGUUUGAAGGAGAUUGGUGAAAAGGGCGACGGAGCAUCACUCUCCAAACAACGUGUGCGAAAACCACUAAAUCGCGUACUUGAUCCAAAAUGGCCGACUUCCUGUGCGACUUUGAACUUGACUCCAAGAGACUUUUUUGUAGGUCCUGAGACACCACAUUAGUGUACCAAAUUUCGUAAUCCUCAGUCAAAGCAUGGCUUGGGGCUAAUAGUUUAAAUGGUCCUAGGGGGCGCUAUUUCAAAACAUAGGCCACGCCCACAAAAUUCAGCUGUCUAUUUCUCUUGGAGCUCAGACUAGGAUCACUCACCAGAAGUUUCGUAGCAAUAUCACGAUAACUGAAGAAAUGAGAGACAAACGUAUUUCCAUGGCGUGAUGGCGAUUUUCGCCAUGGUCCCAAAGCCCCGCCUUUUUUCAAAACCUGCCAGUACUGGAGACCAAGUAACCUCAACUUGUCUACUGCUGUUUGCCACAGAAUCCUGGUGAUUGGGUAAAAGGAGUCCAGUAGGGAGCUGUGAAAAAAAGAGUAGCGUGGCGACAGGUCAAAGUUUGAGGCUUAGCCACGCCCACACCUUUCAACUUUUGAAAAAUCCGACGGUUGAAUUUUUUCCCCUAUGUCUUAAGGGUAUAUAGCAGAAGUUUGAAGGAGAUUGGUGAAAAGGGCGACGGAGCAUCACUCUCCAAACAACGUGUGCGAAAACCACUAAAUCGCGUACUUGAUCCAAAAUGGCCGACUUCCUGUGCGACUUUGAACUUGACUCCAAGAGACUUUUUUGUAGGUCCUGAGACACCACAUUAGUGUACCAAAUUUCGUAAUCCUCAGUCAAAGCAUGGCUUGGGGCUAAUAGUUUUAAUGGUCCUAGGGGGCGCUAUUUCAGAAAAUAGGCCACGCCCACCAGAUGUUCACAUCAGAUCUUUUGGGGGGCCGGACUAGGAUCACUCACAAGAAGUUUCGUGACGAUAUCUUUGGAAAUGACGAAAUGGGAGGCAAACGUAAGGCCAAGGCGGUACGCCUGAAUUCGCCGCGCCACCACAGCCCCGCCCUCUGCCGAAAACUCCCAUAAAGUGACGCCAAGCAACCCCCACUUGUCUUGAGUUACCAGCUACAAAUUUGUGGUGAUUAAGUGAAAUGGGGCAAUUUGGGACCUUUCACAGUAAAACUUGAUCUUUUUGGUCCUGAGGGGGCGGGGCUUGUGUGAUGUCAUCAUCCGACCUUUCAAUUUACUUUGUGGGUGGAUGACGAAUGACCACAGAAAGUUUGGUAACUCUAUUCCAUUCAGUUAUGAAGUUAUAGCAAUUUAAAUAUUUUUGGCGAGUAGUCAAACUUCGAGGCCUGGCUCCGCCCCUUCAACAUAUACGAAAACUCAGAAUCCUUAUCUCAUUUUGUUCGCCCAUCCCUUCUGAGCAAUUUUACACAAUUUUUGAGACGAUCGUGCGAAAAAUGAUCGAGCAAUCCAAUCAGAAACGGACCCUAAAAACGGCAAAAACGGCAAAAAAUCGCCAUUUCAACCCAAAAUGGCCGACUUCCUGUUUGAUAUUGACCAUGGUUGCAAGAGACUUUUCUGUGCGGACUGUUGAGUACUACAAGUGUACCAAAUUUCAUAACUGUACGAUAAACUAAGCUUUAUGGAGAGGGGUUUUUUUCACUUUGUAGGGGGCGCUGUUCAGCCAUUUUCUUUGCGAUUUUUUUGGGACCUUUAAAAUAUCAAAUUUUUCACCAGGCCUGACAAGUGUGCAAAAUAUUGUGAGUUUUGGGGUAUGUUAAGGUCCCCAAAAAGCUGUUCAAAGGGGGCACGGAAUAACAAAAAAUAAUAAUAAUCAGAGCAAAAACAAGAGGCCUUCGCAGCGCUUUCGCUGCUCGGGCCUAAUUAAAGCUGCAAGCAGCGUCGUUCGGCCCUCGCAGCUACGCGCCGCUCCGGCUUGGCCCGCAGCCCGGGGCGCCAGGGCACGUCCGCGGAACAGAAACGUUGACCACCCCGACAAAAAGUAACCGCUAAUGGUCACCUCGUCUGCACUUCACCCAGCCUCAGCAUCCUCUCUGAGCCCACCAUUAAAUUACACAUCUCACCACUAGGGCAUGCUCUAUCUUUAUCUCACUGGUGGUGUGAUGACACAGACCACCUUUAAUGCUUUUCUGAUCAUGAUUUUUGAAGUUAUAGUAGGCUAAAUUUAUCCAGGGGGCAUUGUGACCAAUCACAGAAUAAUCCCAUUGAGGUCAGCUUUGGUUGACAAAGAUCGUUUUCUGUUAUUUUGGCAUCAAUCAGACAUUGUGUGUUCUUUCUAGAGACAGUGAGCUAAAAUGGGUGGAGCUACAGGGAUUUGAACCAACAACCACAUCAAUGUGUUUGGUGAAGUCACGUGAUGUCACAAGCCAAGUAUAAUGCCAUUCUGACCUCAGCACAGCUUAUCAGUUUGCAAUUUAAUAAAUGGCAAUUGCACCACAAGUUGGUCCAAUGAGUGUUGUUCUAUAAAAUAAUCAUUAGUGUAAGUUUCAACCCAAUAAAUCUAUGUGUUGUGCUAACAUCAUCAAUAUGUGUGACGUGAUCUGGUAACAUGUAGGGACUUACUGAAUGGACUUCAGAUACUGUAAACAUGCUUCAUGUCUUAUCUGUAUUUUUUGCCGGCACCCAGAUCCUAUGUCAUUAUUGUGGGCGAGCUCAUGUACUAGAGGCGUGAUUCAUCCCUCUUCAUAACUUGUUUUUUUGUUAUUUCGUUUCUCACAUUUGUCUCACACAGAAAUACUAAUGAACGUAGGUUAAACCAGAAUCAGUUUUAUUUAAAUGUAUGUAGUAGCUGGUUUCGUUUUAUUUUACAGUGGGCUGAAAGGUGAAUCAACAAGAUUGUAUAAACUCAGUUGACAUUAGAAAUUAAUUCAUAGGAUUCUCCAUCAUAGCACUAUACAAGCUCAUUAUGUCUUUUGUAUGUUACAUUUUAAAAACUGUGAUUAGUUGAGAUGUUAUGCUUUUUUCAACAGAUACCAGUCAGAGGGGACAAACAGGACAUGUCAAGCUGCAAAUCUGCAAUCAAGCUCAGUCAUGGAAAAGUCGUCCCUCCUGUGGUUAUCUUCCAAAGUUAUCAUCCAUGUUUCUGUACUCCAACACAGCUAAUUCUGUUGUUGAAUCAUUGAGCAGAAGGUCAUCAGGUUUUUCAAAAGCCUGUAAAUCACCUGCUGAUUGAAAUAAGGUGUGUUGAAGCACAGUUAAAACUAAAACAUGCUAGCUACUGCUUUUCCAGGACCAGGAGAGGGUAUGGCUGUUGUGGUUUGAAAAGGGCAGUGUGGCAUUAUUAGCUUUUCCACUUGAAGGCCUCAUCCUCUCCUCCUCAUCACAUAAGAAAAGGGGAGUUGAGCUUAACUGUGGCCAAAUUAAUGUUUAAAUGAAUAUUAACCUAUUUUAUAGAGGACUCAAGAGUGAAUUUUGAUGAUGGUAGGGAGGUUAAGUGACUGUAGCUGUGCAGCUGAAAUGUCUGGUGUGGACAGGAUAAGGGAAGGGCCAUAUUAAGUGCAGAUAUGUCUGGAGAGCAGAUUAGGUGAAGUGAAGUAGGAUGUAGCCUAGCCAAGCAACUAUUGUAGUACUCAGUGGUGGGGUCUUGUGAUGUCAGUUUGCUAUUUAAGGUUGGGAAGAAAGCUAGAGGCUGUAGGGUCAGGUUCCUGUUAUAGGAAGGCAACAUGGAUAGUGAAUAUGAAUUUUAGGAGAGACCCUCUGUUUCCAGUUGUGGGGGAACAUAAUGCCAUGUAUGGAAGAUGUCACUGUCCUGAGCCAGUGGAUCGUGCCACUUGGAGCCAAGCUAAGAAAGCUUAGAUGUGGGGAUGGUGUAUUGAACAUCAAAUAGAGCUAAGUGUUCUUUAUCUUUAUUUUGCAUUUUAUUGGGUAUGGGGAUUGACCAUUGUUGAGCUUUUAUUUGUGCAGAAUCAGUGUUAAUCUAGGUUAAGACAUCUGGAGUGAGGAGGAGGGUUUAGGCUUAGUAGACCAUAGAUAUAUAUAUACAUAGAUGCCCAAUGGACUGGUGCCGCCUAUUGGAGAUGUUGUAGUGGCUGGUUGCCAUUUGAGAUGUUUCUCCAUUUGCCCCUGUACAUGCUGAGGAAGGUGCUGACCCAAGUAAAAAAACACAUUUUAUGAAGCUUUUUCACAAAAGCAGACACAAGGUAUGGCAUGACAAUUAAAUUAUAGACACAAGGUAUGGUAUUAUAAUUAAAAUAUAAAUGUGUUUAACCACGAUAUGUAAUAAUUUUUAAUAGAAAUAUCUAACUGAUAGGGUAGAAAAGCAAGUAGUAAUCUCAUAUGAUAUUUUGUCAAUAGUACGACGGUUGUUGUAACCAACGGCUGCACAUAAACGGGCAUUGCUGCUCAGUCUGCUUUGAUUUUGGAGAGUGAGGAGACCCAUCCAAUAUGGCGGCGUUGUUUUUACGUUCUCCAGCGUCAAAUGUGGCGUCUACAUAAUCAUGUCUAUAGACCCUUUUACUACUUACGUCAUCAAAAGUUGCGUGCGCAGCCUGGCAACGAGAGUGAAGGGUUCCUCAUUCACACUCGAUACUAAAAUAGCGUUUUAAACCCUUUGUUUUGAAGUUCUGAGCACAUAAAAAUGUCGGGUUGUUGCGUGUAUGGAUGCCAGAAUCGCUUCUCUUCAAGCAGUGGACUGAAACUUUACAGAAUUCCGAAGGGAGCAAAUCCAUUUCAACAAAAUUGGAGGCGUCUGUGGCUGCAGGCCAUCAAAAGGGUUGAUGAAAACUGGACUGAAAACACGAUCCAAAAUGCUCGAGUUUGUAGCGCCCAUUUUAUAUCAGGUAAGGUUAUUAUGUACUAAGAUUACACCAGAAAGCUGGUUAACUUGUGUUCUAUAAAAUAAAGUAAGUUGUGUUUGCUGGUUUGCUUUUAAGCAGUCUAUUUAUUUACAGGCGAGGUGUCAUUGGACUCCUCGAGUCCUGAUUUUGUGCCUUCUGUGUUUACGUACACAAAGCGAAGUCCAAACCCCCAUGCAAAGAUGGACAGGUAAUGUUUACACCUUCCCAUCACAGAUAUAUUUAAUAUUUAGAAAUUCUUGCUAUUCAUGAUGUUCAGUGUUAUUAUAUCUUGGCUCUUGACUUGUGUAACUGUUAAGUAAUUUAGACCUGUUACAUUAAGGUAUCAACGGAAAAGGAGAAGGGAUGAAACGUCUUGCAUGCCAUCAAAUCAGCUGGCUGCUUCAGAGAAUACAGAUCAGCAACCAUCAUUGGCUCACCAUGCCGGUAAGGAUUUUGUAUUUUCUGUUACAAUAAAAAUAUUUGUGUGGACUUGUUGGUGCAUUUGAUAACUUUUCAUAUUUCUGUGUUAAAGCUGAAGAGGACCUCCCUGUUCCAAGGAGAGAAUAAGAUGGCCUACAACAAAGAUAUGCUGGGCUUCAUAAAAACCAUGUCAACCUGCAGCUGGAGUUUGAAAAACUUAAGGCAGAAAAUUGCAAGCUUAAAGAGGAGCUGACAAAUUAAGCGUUUUCCAAUGCAAAUAUUAGGUGCAACAGGGGAGCACUGUUUUUUUCACAGGACUUACAACUCUUGUCUUUGAUUGGCUCCUAACAAAAGUAACAGAUAGUGUGGAGAUAAUUUGCCAAAAACUAACCGCUCAAGAUCAUCUAUUGGUUGUACUAAUGAAAUUAACACUGGGUCUAAGCAACACGGAUUUGGCAUACAGAUUUAAUGUUUCUAAAACAACUAUAUCAAAUAUUUGUCGAAGCUGGAUACCUGCCGUGUCUGUAAUACUUAAACCACUCAUUAAAUGGCCAAGUAAGGGAGCCGUACUAAAGAGCAUGCCCAAAGUUUUCAGACGGAAUUUCAAACGAUGUCGGUGCAUAAUAGACUGUACAGAAAUGUUCAUUUCUAGACCUAGCAAUCUAACUGCUAGGGCCCAGACAUGGUCAAAUUACAAACACAGCAACACAAUUAAAUAUUUGAUUGGCAUCACCCCAGUUGGAGCAAUUUCCUUUCUGUCACCUGGAUGGGGUGUAAGGGUUUCAGACAAACAAAUAACAAAAGAGUCGGGGUUGGUCUUUUAGAACACAAUGAUGAGAUUUUAGCUGAUAGAGGAUUUCAAAUCCGAGAUGAACUUGCCGCUUGUGGAGCCACUCUCCGUAUACGUCAUUUCACAAAAGGGAAAAAGCAACUCUCUGCUCAGGAGGUAGACUCAUCAAGACAACUGUCUCGUGUCAGGAUACACGUUGAAUGAGUAAUAGGACGCUGGAAGAAAUGUAAGAUUUUUCAAACAGUAAUUCCUGUGUCACAACUCAACAUUCUAGAUGUGAUUGUGUGUGCUGCUCUAACAAACCUCUGUAAGAGCGUUGUAAAACACACCAAAAAUUAUCAACUCCCAUGAUCCCAUGCAGACAAGAAACAGUGCUACUGUCAUUUGCUAGAAUAUGUAAAACUGAUUUUGCAUUAGUGUACGAAAAAAAUGUAAAUCUGCUGUUUUUUUGUACUAAAUAAUAAAUUUUAAAUUUUCUUUGUAUGUGAUUGUCAGAAACAAUUCGAUUGUGCACUAAUUAAAUCUUUGUAGUUUCAACAUUAGAUGCAAACUAAAAUACACACAUACAAACACCGUUGAAUCCUAAAGAAUUGUUUAUUUGAAAAUAGUUUGAGCAUCAACACCAUUCUUUUAAAUCUAAGAAUUAGCCAGAAGGCUUUUUAUUUUAAAAAAUAAAUAAAUACAAUUAACAAUAAUCACAUAUUCUAAGUUAAUUGUGUGUUUUGUAACAAAAAUAAAUCAUAUAUAUAUAUUUCUAUUUUGGUCUCUGCCGAUCUCUGCCGAGCUCUGCCGAGCGGUGGAGGCUGUGUGUUGUGUUUCAAUCGGCCAAACGGGACGAGACCAGUCGUCCAAUUGCUGACAAGAAAAUCAAAGGGUAGGAAUGGGAAUGUAUCCAAUCAGCGUCGACGUUGUUUCAGAAGCAUGACGGGCGAUAGAGCUACCGCCAAAGGCUUUCGCUAGUGCUCGGUAGAACUCGGAGAUCUACUCCAGCACGUUUUUGGUCGUGACUCGUGAUGGUCGUGACGCAUACGGAAUAAACAUGGAAGCCAGUGCGCCUACAACCAGCAGCAGCAUGGAUACCGGAUCUCAGCAGCCACUGAAUUCAGUUCGGUCUCUUCUCCAGUUCGAGAGGAGAACUAUGGUGGAAAAACUUAAUGUCAAAGAGCUUGGACCAGAUCAGCCCGACGUAAAGAUAAGCCAGCAGGAGGAGGAGAGAGGUAAACUGUACACACGAGGCUUCUGGGAAGGCUUGGCUAGCUGGAUGCAAUCACGCUAAUGCGUUAUUUUGCUUUCCAAACAUAUGUGACAGAUGAGGCAUGGAUUGAGUCAGGAGUUACGGACAUGAAACAUUUUUCUGAGAAGGUGAAGAAACAUGAGUUAUCCCGGGCGCACAUGGACAACACGGUGAAGCUAGCUAUGCUAGGCAGAGCUAACAUAGCCAUGCAGCUCGAGACGAGGGACGCGGGCUUGCAGUGAAGAAACACAAUGAAGAAGUGGAUCAGAACCGGCACAUUUUGUCCAAGAGAGAGAUGUCAACACAGUGUAUGAGCACAAGGAUGACCUCCUCAGAUUUUUCCAGAUCAGAGACUCGGAUGACUUUGAUCCAGUCACUGAGAGAGAGGCAGGAGGCUUUGUGAGAAUGCUGGAGGAAGAAGAUUUCUGCUUUCUGCUGGCAUUGUUUCACAAGAUCAUGCCACAUGUGGACAUGCUGUUCAACCAACUGCAGAAGAGGAACAUUGACUCUGUCUCCAUCACAGGGGUCAUCCAGAGCUUCACCAACAGCAUGCAAAAGAUCAGAUGCAUUUUUCACGGGGGCUUUUUAUUGUUUUAUGUUAGAUUCGUUUUUGUAAAUAAUGAAAUAAAUCAGGAAAUCUUCUAGAAAUAGGAAAUGUUCCUCAAGAUCUGUUGAUGAGGAGCAAGAUGUGCCCUCAUCGUUUUUCCGUCACAAACGCAGAAAACAAAACCUCCAUAUACAUCUGUGGUUGAGGAUUCAGGUGCGAGUGAAGAUGAUUUCCCAUCACAGCUGCAAGAUUCUUCUGAUGAGCCAUUCACCAGCAAUGGGCAGUGUCAGAGGAAGGAUCUUGCUGGAGAUGCUCCACAUCUUCUAGACUCCUGGACAACAAAGUCAAACCCAGGUACUGUCAACCCACGCCACCCAGAUUUAUCCCCAGAAGAACUCCUGGCUAUCAGCUUCCCGUCAUGGAUAAACCAGGUACACGCAGUGCAAAAAAGCACUCCCUGGAUGUGCUAAGAAUGCAAGAAAGUAUUUUGUCUGCAGCAGGACAGGAAUUGCUCUGCAGAAGACCACAGCAGCUAAAAACGCCUGAACACUGACAGACAAUAUCACCUGAAAGUCAGACACUGAAAGUUGUAAAUGUAAAAAGAUCAAUACAAGGUUGUAAUCCAUGUUAGGUUUGAGUUUUGGUAUUUCAGAUUUUUUAUUCAUGUACAUCUGUAUUUUCUAUUCAUACAUAUCUGAAGAAAAAUGAAAUCAGUUUUUUUCUGUUAUUACAUUAUUUUUUUUGGGUAAUUUCAAACAAAAUAGCUGCAAAAUCUUUACAGAUACGGAAAGCUAAGCUUGUCCUGAAAAUGUUUUGUGCAGAUACGACCUUUUUUGACGAAUUUAUUCAAAGAUAAAGAUAAACAAGGCCAGGCAGAGUUGAACAAUGGCAGAACUAAAAGGUUUUAAGAGCUGGAAUUACAGUAACAUGAAGCUGAGCUCACAGCUGGUAAUGGGGCUCAGGAGGUGACCGUGCUCAUUACGUGCUUUAUGAGAAUACCUUUGAUGAGCAAUCAAAUCACAGGUAUGACGUAGAGGCUGCUAGAGCACGCAGAGAGAGUCGGGAGAUGAAGAAUCCAGCAGGAGAGAUGGUCCGUUAUGUAGGAAGGAAGAAAAAUAGCGCGGCAGAGAAACAAAACACGACGUUUUAAAAACAGCUGCUGUGUGCUUCCUAACCUCAGUGAGCGUCCAGAGAAGAGUGAAAACAGCCAACAUCCACAGCUAUGUUGGAUGUUUAUCAGAGAGAACAUAUGUGUUGAUAUGAAUUCACACUAUUAAAGGUAAAAUGUUCCUUUGGAAGUAAAGUGAUGUUUACAUGCUAAAUACAUAUCCCAUUACCUGACUAAGCUUGGUGUGAACAUUCAAGUCACUAUGAAAUCUGCAAGCCUCUAAGGUGACAGAGCUUCAUUGCAAGUGCUAUAUGUGACUGAUGGGUUAGAAAACAUGUGAGAGUUUCUAAAAUGUGUCACAUGUGAGGUUAAAAUGUAGAAAGUGGUGUGUGUGCUUUAAGCUGCCCAACAUUUUUGAGUGUGUGACCUUUGUUAAAUGUGAUCCACUUCCUGCUGUAAUGUGGACUUUUAUAGAGCUGAGUAACUGGAGUAGAUUACACACCUAAGUAGCUGUAGUACAUUACACACCUGAGUAACUGGAGUAGAUUACACACCUGAGGAUGAGAGCCAGUAGUUUAUAUUUAAUGUGAGUAAACUGCAUCUACCUGACAUCACUCAGAGACAAAGUACUUCUGACUCUUAAAGUCAUUUAUUAAAAGCAUGCCUGCUACAAACUCAAGUAUUUCAGUGUAAAAAUAACUUCACAUGUGUGAUAUGCACGUGGAGUCACAAGUUAACUUUUAUCUGCUAAGGUGUUCACUGCAGUCAAAACACCCUCCAUGCUUCUGCUGGUUGGCUGCUUUGUCCAGGUGAGCUGUGUGUUUUUAGACUGCCUGUCUGUCAGUUCACAGAAGAACUGCAUCAUGGUAUUAAACUGUUCAUCUGCCCUGUUUUCAGCCUCUGACCCAAGCAUCUGUACUGUCUUGUGGUUCUGUGUACAGUGAGUUUGCAGCGCUGCAGUGCUCUUGUUCAGGCUUGGUGUGGAGGCCUUUUACACCUGUUGAUUUACUGUGAUCUUGUCAUGGCUCUGCUUUUCCUCUGCUGCUGUGCUCUUAACCCCUUCUUUCCACAGGAGCCGUCAGCAGCACGUUACUGCAGCAGCACGUCAUAGCUGCUGAUAGGAGCCGCUGUGGUCAACAGAACCUUUUCCACCGGAGCCGUCAGCAGUGCGAGUCGGCCGCGUCUCAGGAGCAGCAUGUCGCGGCCUUUACGCUCCGGUUAUAUUUUCUACGCGCGACGCCUCUGAAACGGGUCAAGUUCGACAUUUUUGGGGAAGGAAAGACAGGAAAUCGGACGCGGAAAUGGAGAGAAGCUCCCGAGAUUUUCAGAAUAAAGAAACGUACUGCCUUCUGGUUGCUUUACUUUUAAAAAAGGUUACUAACUGCAGCCCCGUGAGAAGUUAUCACCUAGCUAGCGGUCUCCUUUGUUUUUCAGGUCCGUAUUGGCGAUUAUAAAACGGACAGAACAUAAAACACAAACCAUGUUGUAGUUUUCUCCUGCUUGUUGUUGUGUUUACUGACGAAGUCACUCGUGUGACUUCGUGCUCGGUCGGUGACAGCUGCUCCCCUGCUGCUUCGCGUCUCGUGGGAAGGGCCAAGCAGCAGCUUGACGUGCUGCUGCAGUAACGUGCUGCUGACGGCUCCAGUGGAAAGAAGGGGUAAGUGUUUGCAGGUGAGCAGGUUGGAGAGCCACAGCUGCAGCUGAUGACCAUCAGCCAGGCCAGAGGAUAUAAGGAGCAGUGUUGCCACACUUCAGCGCCGGUUGAUACUCUAUUGUUGGUACCAGCCCUGGAUUCUUACCUCAGCUUCCUGCUGUCUGAAGUGGAUUUUUCACCCAACGCCGCUCAACUCCUCUGGUCUCCCGCUCUCCACCUCUCACCUGUCCUGGAUUACUUCACUGCCUGAUAAUCCUCUCCACCAGACCAUCUCCAGCUCAGACCUGACUUGCCUCCCUCUCCUGCUCAAAACCCCACUUCACACAGAUUGGAAUACUCCCCCUGGCCCAGUUUGGAUCAGUGCUUUUUGUUAUUAUUUUUCUUUAUAAUAAAACAUGUAUAAUUUUACU
This is a non-coding RNA of Nothobranchius furzeri (turquoise killifish), 11840 nucleotides long. NCBI's taxonomy places the organism in Eukaryota, Metazoa, Chordata, Actinopteri, Cyprinodontiformes, Nothobranchiidae. The record is from RefSeq and is a predicted model, not a curated record.